AUGUACAAAAGUAAACAUUUGACCACCUACUUUUGCUCCUGGCCCCACCUUCUGCUGGUUGGCAGCUCCCUGAAGGUGGCCCAGAAGGCAAUGUGGCCCUUGCCCCCCAUUCCAACCCAGAACAUAGUCUUUCAAGGAUAUUUUCACUGGCAUGGUAGUAAACAGUGUCCCCAAAUUUCAGGCACCUACAAUCUAGAGCAGGGUUUCUGAAACGCGGUUCUCCAGCUGUUUUUUGGACUACAACUAGCAAGACCAGCAGUCAGGGAUGAUGGUAAUUGUAGUCUGAAAACAGCUGGAGACCCAACACUGAUCUAGAGGUCCCCCACUACACAAAAAGCGCCCAAAAUAUUCCCCAAAUUUCCAACAGAAUCUCUGUACAUGGGGCAUUUUUCACCCUAGCCAAUGUAACAUGCUGAGGUAAAAACGGUUUCCAGCUAAACUGAUUGAGAGAUUCAGAUUUAAAAGCCUGGGAUAAAAACAAGUCCCAAGAAAUAUGAAGUGUUGUUAGUUUGCCUGCUGCCUUAUUGCUUGCUCUGAGGUGAGAUUUGAAAGAAGGCAGAGCAGUAGCAGCCAACAGGGAAUCCAAGCAUAAAGGGCAGCCAAGGAGAAUAGGUGGAGUCAUGAAAAUGGACAGGAAAUUUUGGGAGGAUAAAGGCAGGGACUGACACAACCACAGCCUGUACUGGUGUGCUGAAAACUUUUGAAAGGCUUUUGUCCUACUUCAUGAGAACGGAUGACCUGCAAAUAAAACUAUGGGAUGAAAAUGGCUUCUUACAAAAAGACACACUUUUAGAAGAUUAUGGAAGACUAUGAUACACAUAAAAAGAAAGAACCAGAACAGCUUACUUGAGUCUUCCGUCGAAAUACGCUGGUGUUCCCAGGACAAUUGUUUUUAUGAAGAAAGGCUGAUUUGUGUG
This is a non-coding RNA of Podarcis muralis (Common wall lizard), 917 nucleotides long. The record is from RefSeq and is a predicted model, not a curated record. Lineage: Eukaryota; Metazoa; Chordata; Lepidosauria; Squamata; Lacertidae.